GACGAACGCUGGCGGCGUGCCUAAUACAUGCAAGUAGAACGCACAGUUUAUACCGUAGCUUGCUACACCAUAGACUGUGAGUUGCGAACGGGUGAGUAACGCGUAGGUAACCUGCCUGGUAGCGGGGGAUAACUAUUGGAAACGAUAGCUAAUACCGUAUAAUAUUAAUUAUUGCAUGAUAAUUAAUUGAAAGGUGCAAUUGCACCACUACCAGAUGGACCUGCGUUGUAUUAGCUAGUAGGUGAGGUAACGGCUCACCUAGGCGACGAUACAUAGCCGAACUGAGAGGGGGAUCGGCCACACUGGGACUGAGAAACGGCCCAGAAUCCUACGGGAGGGAGCAGUAGGGAAUCUUCGGCAAUGGACGAAAGGCUGACCGAGCAACGCCGGGUGAGUGAAGAAGGUUUUCGGAUCGUAAAGCUCUGUUGUAAGAGAAGAACGGGUGUGAGAGUGGAAAGUUCACACUGUGACGGUAUCUUACCAGAAAGGGACGGCUAACUACGUG
This 505-nucleotide ribosomal RNA is filed under the name uncultured bacterium. RNAcentral's name for it is "partial 16S ribosomal RNA". It matches the Rfam family "Bacterial small subunit ribosomal RNA", at positions 28 to 507 of the family's 1533-position model. The record is from RNAcentral.